AGAGAAAGAGAGAGAACCCCAAGCAGGCUCUGCACUGUCAGUGCAGAGCCGGAUGUGGGGCUGGAACUCGGGAACCAUGAAAUCAUGACCUGAGCUGAAAUCAAGAGAUCCAUACUUAACCGGCUGAGCUACCCAAGCUGAGUUACCUAAGCACCCCUGCAUCUCUCUAGUUUUGACAUGCAUACUUUUUAUUCAGUUCAAAAUGCAUUGUAAUACAUUUUUCUGCCCCAUGUGUUAUGAGAAGUAUGUUAUUUAUUUAAUUGCCAAAUAUUAUGAGUGUUCCAUAGAUGUUUGUUACUUUUUUCAUUUAAUUUUUUUUUUUUUAGUUUGUUUUUGAGAGAGCUAGAGCCCACGUGCACUUGCGCACACGCAUGUGGGAGAGGGGCAGAGAGAGAGGGAGACACACUCUGAAACAGGCUCCAAGCUCCAAGCUGUCAGCACAGAACCUGAUACGGGGCUCGAAUCCAUGAACUGUGAGAUAAUGACCUGGGCUGAAGUUGGGUGCUUAACCAACAGAUGCCCAGACGCCCCAAUGUGUCUAUUAUUUUAAUUCAAUUCCAUUGUGGCUAGAGAACAUGCUGUAAGACUUGAAUCUUUGUAAAUUUGUUGAGACUUGUUUUAUGAUCCAAAUAUCACAUAUCUUAAGUUUUAUGUGCACUUGAUAGAGAUGUGUAUUCUGCUCUUGGGUAGUGUUUUAUAAAUGUCAUUUGUUUAUUGAUAAUGUUGUUGAAGUGAUCUCUGUCCCUCUUGAUUUUCUGUGUAUUGUGCUAUCACAUUGAGAGAAGGAUAUUGAAAUUUCCUCUUUUACCUGUGCAUGUCUUAAGUUUCUCCUUGCAGUUCCAGUUUUUAUUUAUUUAUUUUUUUUAAGUUUAUGAUUAGUACAUAAAUGUUUAGGAUUACUAUGUCUUCUUUGUGCAUUGACUCCUUUUUUAUUAUGUAGUGACCAUUUUAUCCUUGGUAAUACUCUUUGCUUUAAAAUCUACUUUUAUGAUAUAGCCAUUCUGGCUUUCUUUUGAAUAGGGUUCACAUGGCAUAUCUUUUUCCAUUCUUUUACUUUCAACCUAUUUGUGUCCUUAGAUUUAAAAUGUGUUUUUUGUAGAUAGCAUAAAGUUGGAAUUCCAUUUUUACAUCCAACUUACACUCUCUUGUUUUGACUAAUAAGAUUAGUUUUAAAACUACUACUUUGCUGUUUUUCUGUUUGUGCUUUGUGUUCUUUGUUCCCUUUUUCUGCUGUCUUUUGGAUGGAUAAUGUUUUAAUUCCAUUAUAUCUCUUGUUAACUGAUUAGCUUAUAACUCUGGUUAUAUUGGUGGCUGGUUUUAGGAGUUGUAUCAUACAUCUUUAACUUACAGUCUUCCUUCAAGACUUAUUUCUUCUCUCUUGGCCUCUGUACUAUUGGUAUCGUAUAUUUUACUUUUGUAUAUGUUACACGUCAUAUAUUAUUUGUUGAAACAGCUAAUUAUCUUUUAAAUACUACUUAAACAAUAAGAAAAAUAUUUUCUAUAUUAAUCAUAACACAGUUGUGUGCAUGCAUUGAAUUUUCGGGGGGAUUUUCCACAGAUUCCCAGAGCUGCCUCUGUGCAACUCUCUUUGGUACUUUGCUUCAGAAACCCUACUUGCUUUGGUCUCCUUGGACUCAUGUCCUCUUAGGGAGUUUUUGAAGUUUGGCCAUUUUCUCCACCUGGGCUGUGCCAUGGCCUGGUCUUUCAAGAUAGUAAGCUGGGGCAAUCAUGGACUGACCUUGUUUUCUGAAUUUCAGGGAUCAUUGUCCAUCAUUGUCUGGUUCUUGAAAACCAUUGUUACACGUGUCAUGUGUAAAUUUUUUUUUUUUUUUUUUAAAGUUUCAGUGGGAAACUCGUGCAUAUUACACUGUCUUGCCUGGAAGUACAAGUCCACCUAUUUUUUUCUUUUUUCAAAAAAAAUUACAUAAUGUGGUCUGUAGUUCUAGAUCUGCCUCAUUCUUUGUUAUAUGGCUACACCACGAUGUAGUUUCUAUGUUGAUGACAUAGUUUGAUUCUAGUUUGUAGUUAAAGAGUAUGUGGAAAUAUUUACAAUGGAAGUAAAAAUCCUGUGUCAAAUGAAAUUUACAGUUAAAAAGUUUAUGAAAACCAGAAUGCCAAAAGGAUUCUUUCCACAACUAUGUAUGGGAAUGCCUGGGAAUCUUUCUUACACUUCUGUGUAAAAUUGAUUUCCUGUACACAUUGUAGGUACAUUUUCUUACAGAUUAUUAUUUUGAAUUUCUUCAUGUAGUGUUGGACAUAUAGAUUUAUUUGUAUUAUUAAGGAGUAUAGUUUUUUUUUAUUUGAUCUUAAAUGUUUUUAGCUUCAGGUCCUUUACUUUUUAGAUGAGAUUAUAAUAGUUUUGAAGAUUAAAUGUGAUUAUGCAUAAAAAGUAUUUUUCACAAGCCAGGUCUUCAGUUAAUAUUAACUGAUUUGCACUACAUAUAGAAUAUCUGAAUUUUAUAACUUUAGGGUUUGUUGAAAUUUCAUUUUUCAUUACCCUUAUAAAUUUGAUGUAGCUACUCAGUUGAUUUUAGACUUGUUUCUUUUUGGUUAGCUUAGUGAGAGUAUAAAAAUAAAUUUGUGAGUUUUUUUUAAAGGUUUUUUAAAAAAUUUAUUUAUUCUGCGUGGGAGCAGAAAGAGAGGGAGAGAGAAUUCUUAGCAGGCUCCACAUUCAGCACAGAGUCUGACAAGGGGCUUAAACUCAUCAGGAGAUCACGACCUGAGCUGAAAUCACAAGUUGGGUGCUUAACCAACUGAGCCACCCAGGCGCCUCGGAAAUUUAUGAAUUUUUAAUAAAGAGAUUUGUUGCAUUUCUGUAAAAUGGUUUUUUUGUUCUUUGUAAUUUGUAAUUAACUUCAUGGUUUCAUUUUUAUACUCUUAACCAUUUUGCCACUGAAAUCGCAGUGUAAUCGGCCUUUUACUGAGGAAAACAGAAAUGAAUGAAGUGAUUGCACAGUAAUUCAAGAUUAUACUCCUUGUGGUAAAAUGUUAACUUUUUGAAUGGAUAUUUUAAACAGUGAAAUUGGUGCUAGCUCUCAUACUAAAUUAACUACUAAAUGAAGCCUUUAAAACUGGACAAUAGAGGACAUAUUUGUUAAAAUAAGUUAUUAGCAUUUUCCAUGUUGGAUCUCACUGGUAUAUAGAAAGCACUGUUUGUAAAUUGCUGAACUUAACUGAGAUGUGAAUUCACCAACGUGGGCUUUUUAGAUAAUUGCAAUGAAAUAAUGCGAUCGAAUAUAACUGGUUGUUUAUAAUAAGUGUGUUAUUAAAAACUUCUGUUUGGACUUUUAGAGUGUGAUUUUUCUUAAAAUGCUACAUAUGCAUGCUUAGGUGUUUAUAUUUGAAUUGCAAGUUGCAGACAUUUAUAGUGUGUCUACAAAAUGCCAACACUGUUAACUGGCAGUUCAGAAACACUGAGAAUAUGUGCUCUUUGAGGGUAGAGGUAGGGACCUUAUUUGUUUUAUUGUUCUUCCAUCAUCAGUAGUAUGUGUUAAGUAGUACAUACACACUAAAUAUUUAAUAACUCCUAAUGGGUCUGGCUUCAGUAUGCUUAUCAUCUCACUUAUCAUCCACUUAUCAGUGAAAAGAUAAACAUCAAUUUUAUUUCAUAACAUUCUUCCUAUUUGCUGGAGAUCCAAAAGAGCUGUGUCUUCUAGGACCUCAUCUGGUUAAAGAGAUAACACAAGGUUUAAGCAAGUGCCUAUGACUGUUAUAAAAGAGAUUAGUCUGGUUUGGUAGGAUCAGAGUAGACCUCACGAAAGUAGUGAGUUGUGACCUAUACAUUAAAAAUAGUUGGGGAGAGGAGGUGAGUAGUGUAUGGUGAGGGAAUGACAUGGCCAGAGUUGUGAUAAUGGGCUGGCACAAAUUGAGAACCACUGAAUAGCUUUUGUGUCAGUAGAUUUGUAUAUGAAUUUGAGAGAAAGAUGGCAUAUAGGUUGUAGAAGGUCUCAAGUGCAGGUUAUGAAAUCUGUACUUGAUCUGGUAGGCACUAUUCUGUAAAUACUGGUAAGUUCCCAUACAUAAAAAAAGUAGCUCAUUAUUAUCCUCUUGUUAGAAUUUGGAGAAUUAACUCCAAAAAGACUGGCUUUGUUAUUACGUGGGGUGCUAUAAAUUAGAAUCCUGAAUCUCUAUAAAUUUAAAAUUUAAACUCUUAUGUGGUCUAUUUGUGUUGCUAAAGUGUAAUAUUUAGUUUUGGACAUACUGCAUUAGGGGCUUAAGGUGGUUAAGUAAUAUUUUUACUUUAGAAGUGGUAAAGGUAUCACAGAAACUUAUCAUGAAAGAUGUGUUUUUGAACAAUGAUUUUUUAUACCUAUUGUGAAAUUUGAACAUAGAAAAAGACCUGAUAGUUAUGAACCACUAUUUGUCACUUAGUCCCAAUAAUCAUCAAUAAACCAUUGCUAGAAUUUGUGAUAUUCACUGUACUUUUCUAUGUUAUUUAAAAAAAAAUUUUUUUUUUAUGUUUAUUCAUUUUUGAAAGACAGAGAGAAAGAGCACAAGCAGGGGUGGGGCGGAGAGAAAGGGGGACACAGAAACUGAAACAGGCUCCAGGCUCUGAGCUGUCAGCACAGAGCCCGAUGUGGGGCUCGAACUCACGAACUGCGAGAUCAUGACCUGAGCCGAAGUCGGAUGCUUAACUGACUGAGCCUCCCAGGCGCCCCUCUCCUAUGUUAUUUUGAGAUGAGUAGCAGAUACAGUAUUUUACUUGUAAUGUUUUGGUGUGUCUCAUAAAGAUAAGAUUUUUUUUUUUUUUUUUGAUAUAACCACAAUACUGUUAGGACAGAAAAAAAAAACAUUCCUUAAUGUUAUCAAGUGCCAAAUUAAUGUUAAAAUUUUUAAUUUGGGGGCGUCUGGGUGGCUCAGUCAGUUGAGCAUCCGACUUUAGCUUAGGUCAUGAUCUCAUGGUCUGUGAGUUCGAGUCCUGUGUCCGGCUCUGAGCUAUCAGCACAGAGCCCUGCACAGAGCCUGAUGCGGGGCUGGAAAUCACAGGCAGUAAGCUCAUGACCUGAGAUGAAGUCGGAUGCUUAACCAGCUAAGCCACCCAGGCGUCUCAUUGCAUUUUAUUUUUGAAGAAUACUUGUUGAUUCCACAGAAUUGCCCCCCGAGUCUGCAUCUACUAAUUGUGUUCUGAUGUUAUAAUUUAAAAUGUUCAUGUAUCUGUCAAUUGGUGUUGGAUCUAGAGACUGUCAUAUUCUUUUUGUUUGUUUUUGGUAAUAUUUUAUAAGUGGUGGUAUGUUUUUACAUUAGAAGACAUAUAUUUGAUUUUUGUGUGUGUCUGUAAUGUUAUUCCCAAUAAUAUUUCUUAUAAUAACUUCUUUCACCUUUUUUGUGUUCAUCAUUGUCUGCUCAGCAUAGUUCAGUAGACAUCUGUUAUCAGUAUUCUUAAAGGAUAUGUAAAAGAAAUGUAUCUUAAAGUUCACUUAAAAUUUAUAUGAUGGAAAGACAGUAUUAAAGUUCAACUUAAAUUGUAGUUAUUGAUGGUAGACAAGAAUUUUUUAGUGGAGGUCUUGUCAAGAGCAUGUGAUUUAGAAUUUGCUAGCAGGCUAGAGUAUGGCCUCUCUAUAACAUUGAAGGUAAUCUCUGAGCUUUAGUUUAACAGAUUUUUAAAUGGUCUUAAUAGGAUUUACCUCAAAAGUUGUUUUGGAGAUUAAAUGAAAUAACAUGUAAGAUUUAGCACAGAAUGGCACAUAAGUGCUCAAAUGAGGAUCAUGGUUGUUACUGUAGCUCUUUACUCUGUACACCUGAUUUGGGAGGAGCACCACAGUGGACUCCCAAAUAUGAACUUUUUUAACUGGCUAUUAGAGACAAAAUUUUUUCUUUAAAAAUUAAAAUUUUUAAAAAGUUUAUUUAUUUUUGAGAGAGAGUGUAUGCACACAUGUGCCAGGUAGGGGAGGGGCAGAGAGAGAGGGAGACUAGGAUCUGAAGCCAGCUCCCCGCUGACAGCAGAGUCUCUGAUGCGGGGCUCAAACUCAUGAGCCACAAGAUCAUUAUCUGAGCUGAAGUCAAAUGCUUAACUGACUGAACCACACUGGUGCCCCCAAAUUAAAUUUUUUAUUGUAUAGUUGACAUACAUAGUAUUAGUUUCAGGUGUACAUAAGUUUUUUCAAUAGCUUACUAAUUUUUUUUUAGUAAUCUCUGUAAUCUCAAGUAAUCUUUAGUAAUCUCAAGACCCCAAAAUCAAAGGAGUCGCAUGCUUUUCCAAGCUGAGCCAGCCAGGUACCCCCUCAAGUGUACAUAAGUUUUUUUGUUUUUUUUUUUUUUUAACAUUUAUUUAUUUUUGAGAGAGAGAGAGAGAGAGCAUGAACAGGGGAGGGCCAGAGGAAGAGGGAGACACAGAAUCUGAAACAGGCUCCAGGCUCUGAGCUGUCAGCACAGGGCCUGACGCGGGGCUCGAACCCACAGACUGCGAGAUCGUGACCUGAGCCGAAGUCGGAUGCUUAACCGACUGAGCCACCCAGGCGCCCCUGUACAUAAGUUUUUAAGAGAGCUUUGAGUCCAGGUUAAAAAUAGCUGGGCAGAUAACCCUACAGAGAGAAUUAGUAAAUUAAAACAUAAAAAUUACUCAGAAUUUAACACAGAGCAACAAAAAAGCAGAGGUUAAAAGAGGAAAGGAAGAGAAAUUCUAACAAAUUAUCUAGACUACCAGAAAGUGAAAGUUAAAGAUUGCAGGGAAGUGGAAUAUGAAAGUUUAAAAACCUCCUAAUUUACCAAAAUUGAUGAGCUUCAUGAAUUCUUAGAUUUAGGAAGCACAAGAAAACCUAGCCACGUCACAGUGAAAGAGCAAGCCAUUAGACACACGGAAGAGCUUUAAAGCAGCCAUAGAAAAACCAGAUUUCCCAAGAAGGAGUAACAACUGUAAAGAUACAAUAUGCUUCUUCAGCAACAUGGGGAUCCAGAAGAUGGUGAAAUAGUAUCUUCAAGGUGUUGAAUGAAAAUAAGUACCUACCUGUUAUUUUGUAGUCCGCUAAAUUAUCACUUAAAGAGAAGAACAAAAUAGUCAUUUCAGAAACCCCUUUUCCCUUCACCCUCCCCCAAAAAAGGCAAUUGAGGAAAUUUAUCAACAGACUCACUGAAGAAUUUCUAGAGUUUAUGCUGUAGGAAGAAA
This is a long non-coding RNA of Panthera uncia (snow leopard), 7102 nucleotides long. RefSeq lists it as uncharacterized. NCBI's taxonomy places the organism in Eukaryota, Metazoa, Chordata, Mammalia, Carnivora, Felidae. The transcript has 2 exons. The record is from RefSeq and is a predicted model, not a curated record.